RNAcentral lists this ribosomal RNA (255 nucleotides) under Klebsiella pneumoniae. RNAcentral describes it as "partial 23S ribosomal RNA". It matches the Rfam family "Bacterial large subunit ribosomal RNA", at positions 1399 to 1656 of the family's 2925-position model. The record is from RNAcentral. Lineage: Bacteria; Pseudomonadati; Pseudomonadota; Gammaproteobacteria; Enterobacterales; Enterobacteriaceae.
AGGCCGAAAGGCGUAGUCGAUGGGAAACAGGUUAAUAUUCCUGUACUUGGUGUUACUGCGAAGGGGGGACGGAGAAGGCUAUGUUAGCCGGGCGACGGUUGUCCCGGUUUAAGCAUGUAGGCUGGUUAUCCAGGCAAAUCCGGAUAAUCAAGGCUGAGGUGUGAUGACGAGGCACUACGGUGCUGAAGUAACAAAUGCCCUGCUUCCAGGAAAAGCCUCUAAGCAUCAGGUAACAUUGAAUCGUACCCCAAACCG